Molecule: long non-coding RNA, 4735 nt
Organism: Musca domestica (house fly)
Lineage: Eukaryota; Metazoa; Arthropoda; Insecta; Diptera; Muscidae
Exons: 5
Source: RefSeq, a predicted model, not a curated record
AAAGGAGCUCGCUUGGACAAAGUUUUGGGCAUUCUAAAUUCUUGUUCCAAAAAAAUAUAGAAAUGGUCUAGCUGUAAGUUUUGAAAAAGGAACUUAAUAUGACUCUUUUAGCGGGAUUUGGCUUUCCUUCUUUGGGCUUUGAUUUUGGUAUAGGUGGGAUGUACUGUUAGCUUCCCGGAUCGGUACUGUCGCCUGUUUUACAAUUUUUCACUGGCCGUUUCCCAGCUGUUUCCAGGUCUUCUGGCAGCUUCCAGGACCUUUUCUGUACCUGGAACCUCGGUGCCGCACCUGGCGAUUCAAAAAACGAUUGUUGGGGAUGCCCGCUCUUUUCUUGUUAAAGUCGGAUGCCAUUGUCAAAUUGUGGAUUUAUGCGCGGCGUUAUUUCCCUAAAUAAAACACACAAACUUAACACAACAUAUCCCACAUAACACCACUUACAAAUCAACAUUUACACAUUGUUUAGAUACGCCACACAAAUAAAAAGCACGAAUAGUAACUGCCAAUUGUGUAUUUCUUUAUUUUUAUUAAAAAAAGGAUUAAAAAUUGACUGAACUGUUUUUUCUGCUCCACAUUACUUUGAAAUAAUGGCGCUUUUAUCCCUCCCUGACGCUCAACCAAACCUUCCCUGUUUUCCAAGAUUUUCCCACAAUUUCCUUGACAUUUAUUAUUUACCUUUAUCAGGUGUUCUACCUACCCACUAUUAUCCCCAGUUUUGUAUUUUUGCCACACGUCUCUUGUGUUGUAAAAAAACAACUUGAAACAUGGCAUCACUUUUUCAAAUUUAGCCGACCGCCCUGCGUAUCCGGCUCUCUUUUUUGGCUGGCGUUCAGCACGUUCGGUGCAUUAAAUUGCACAUUAUAAAAAUUCAUACUGGGAAUGAACGCAACAAAACUUCACCACUUUAGUAGAAAAAAAUAAAGAAAGUGGUGAUAUGCGUGAAUCCUUACAUCCGGUCGUAGGCGGAAUAUAAAAUUGUGGAGCCAAGUAAGUUUCUUCUUUUUUAUCACCAUCAGUCAGUCCACGUGACCAAACAAAAUUUCUAGUGUCUCAUUUUUUUCCUUCCGGAUAAAGACGAAUCAAAAAAAUUACCUGAUUUAUAUUCAUUCUUGGGAGUCUCAUGCUUGCAGUCGUGGAAACGUACAUGAAGUGUGCGCAACGCCGUUAAUUUACCUACACCGGCCAUUCAUGCUUUCGUAGAGUUAUAGAUCCCUAUGUGACUUUGCAGUGUAUCGUUGCGGCUUAUUCACUCAAUUCAAUUCACAAAAUUUUCCAAUCGGACAAACAAAUGACAGAUAAUAACUUUUUAAAGAAAUAUUGUAUUUAUUCAUUCUAACUUGUUACUUUUUAUUCUAACAGAGAUUUGGUGGAUUUACCCACAAUCGUACAAAUAAUCCAUGAGUGGGACUCGUGAAUAUCGUUGGAACAAAUGGAAAACGCAAAUCGUGGAAACAAAUAUUUGUUUACCUUUCUUACAAUGGUAACUUCGGUAGAUCCCUAAUCGUUUGGUUGAAUUUUUUAAGCGCACUUACAUUUUCGUGAAACUUUUUAAAUCAUUUUUGAAAAUUAACUUGUCCCAGCAGGUAUUCCAUCAGAUGUCACCCACUCUGUUGAUACCUGCAACAAAUUCAAUAGCACCAAUGGAACAAGGAAGAACUUUAGCACAUAAUCAGCAGCCAGUUUCAACCAAUGGCUUAAACAAAAACAACAAUUAUGGCAAACGUCUAAGGUUAGAAGACUCUACACCACCAACUGAUGUUGACAUAUCGGGGUUCAAAUAUGAUCCUAAUAACCAGAACAGGUAUGCAAAGUUUGCAGAUCUGGAAUUUGAAAAUAUUCAACAAGCACCGCAAACCAAUAACACCGAUCCGGAAAAGUCACCAAAAAAAGGAAAGACGUCUUUUUACCCACCAAUAUUUUUAUAUAAUAUUAAUGUCCUACUCCUAAUUAAACAAUUAGAAGAAAGAUCGCCACCAAUUAAUUUCAAAAUCAAAAAUGUUGGUACAAAUAAAUGUAAAUUAUAUCUAUGUGAUCCCACAGCCAACACUACAAUGCUAGAUACUCUUCGUGAAAAGUCUGUCCACGCGUACUCGUUUACACCGAAAGAAUUAAAGCAGGUGUCAUUUAUAUUAAGGGGACUUUGUCGAGGCGUUGAAGCUGAAUACGUCAAAAAUGCCUUGGAUGAGGUAUUGCCUGAAGUUAUUUCCAAGGUAUCAAAAUUCAAAACUUCUAGAUCAAUAAAAAAUAAUUUGGAUACAGGUCUUUUCUUGGUGACUCUUAUUCCUGGUAAAUCAUUAAGCGACAUUUCCCAUAUUAAAUAUUUACAUAAGCAAUCGCCGAUCGAAUGGACAUACCGCAAACUGGAGAGGUUGUCCUGUAUUUAAAAAAUAUGCAGCUAAGAGAAGAGAACGCAUUCAAAACGCCAUAAACAUUGAAAAGGCAGCAACAGAAAAUCUGAGUCAUGUCAUUUCCAACAAUUAUGUUACAGCAGAUAAAACAUUUGCAAGUCAUUUUCAUCCUACGACGAGCCAUAGUAGUAAACCAUCAAUUAUUGACGAAUUUUUAAAAUUGUCAAAUAUUUUCUUGCAACCAGAGGAACUAACCCUAGAGCAAGAAAUAAACAUAUUUCUGGCAGAAUUCAACAAUAUGUCAAAGAGUAAAGCUAAAGACGAAUUCAUGCGUCUUUUAAAAAAAGGAUACUUAUGGUCCAUAGGUUCUUAAAAUGUUUAGCCUUCAAUGUCCGGUCUCUUGUGGAUCGCAGUCGUCAGAUCGAGCUACAUAAAUAUCUCUCCAAAAACAAAAUUGAUAUUACAUUUAUCCAAGAAUGCCAACUUCGAAAAAAUAAAAAAGUUUAUAUGAAGGGUUACACAUUUUGAUAUGACUACUCAAAUAUUGGCAUGGCAGUACUUUUAAAAAACGACAUCAAUUACAAGCGCACUACAGCUGAGGAUAUAAAUUUUAAUGCAGUCUUUAUUGAGAUUGAGACAAAAAUUAACAAUUCAAUGCAGAAAUUUUUACUGGGUUCACUUUAUAUUUCAACCAAUUUCAACACACAACACUUAAUCAAUGGUCUAAAUAAUUGUCUGCAGUUUACUAAUAAUUAUGAUGGAUUUAUUUUUGGAGGGGAUCUUAAUUCUAGACACACGACGUGGGGUGAUAUAAUGGACAACACCAAUUGAAGGACACUUUACAAUUGGUUGCUUGAUAAUGCCACAGACGUUACUCGAAUAUGUGACUCUUCUCCUUCAUACCCUAAUGGUCCAUCUUAUUUGGAUCAUUUUUUGGUCAGCCCAAAACUGAUAGAUACUGAUGCAGGCAACUACAAAAUAACCAGUAUUCCCUCAUUUUCUGACCAUUACCCUCUCAAAUUGGAUAUUUCGUUCAAUACAGGUGGUAUUAUCCUCAAAACUCCCAGAGUGGUUGUUUCUUAUAAGUCCACGGAUUGGAGUAUGUUUCGUCGACAGUUUGAUUCUGCAUUGGAAUCCAUUUUACCACCUGCAAACAGAAAUCUUGUUAAUGAUGAAAUUGACAAUUGUAUAAAUAUCUUUGAAAAUACCUUUCAUAACAUACACAAACAGCACUGCAAAACAAUUGAAGUAAAAAAUCACCAAAUCCUUUUACCUGAAAUAUAAAGAGGUUUUAUAAAAUCAAAGAUCAAUGGCAAAAAGGCCUAAAAAAAAAUAUUUCAUCGAAAUGCCAACAGAACAAAUUUUGAAUACAAUAUAUUGUCCAAACAAAUACAGCUACUCAAAAACAUUAUACGGGACCUUCUUUACAAAAAGCAGGCUAAAGUUUUUUAACUCCAAAUUAAAAAAUAUAAAACCCAGUCCAUGAGCUUUCCAACAAGUUAGCAAACUAAUUGGAAAAUCUAAAACACAAUUUUGCCAACAGCUACAAAUAGAUAAUGUGGCUUUUACUACAGGUAGAGAGAUCGCAAACGCCUUCCAUGACUAUUAUAGCGACACUUAUAAACAUUUACAUCUUUCUCCACUUGUUAUGCUUCCGUUCUACCUGAACGAAGUAACAUUGUAACACUCAGUCUGCGCGGCAUUAUGGCGGGGUUCCGCACUAGCUCAGGAGGGAGCGGUUAUCCAGGGGUUCUCAAAAUGAACACAUAAGAAUAAAACUUGAAUUUUAAUACCGGAACGAAAAAAAUUGUGAGUCAAUACUCAGAUUACCUUUUUUAUUACACCGCUAGGAGCGCCAAAUUUUGGUCAAUAAAUCUACUCUAAAUUCUGCCUAAAGGAGCUCGCUUGGACAAAAGUUUUGGGCAUUCUAAAUUCUUGUUCCAAAAAAAUAUAGAAAUGGUCUAGCUGUAAGUUUUGAAAAAGGAACUUAAUAUGACUCUUUUAGCGGGAUUUGGCUUUCCUUCUUUGGGCUUUGAUUUUGGUAUAGGUGGGAUGUACUGUUAGCUUCCCGGAUCGGUACUGUCGCCUGUUUUACAAUUUUUCACUGGCCGUUUCCCAGCUGUUUCCAGGUCUUCUGGCAGCUUCCAGGACCUUUUCUGUACCUGGAACCUCGGUCCCGCACCUGGCGAUUCAAAAAACGAUUGUUGGGGAUGCCCGCUCUUUUCUUGUUAAAGUCGGAUGCCAUUGUCAAAUUGUGGAUUUAUGCGCGGCGUUAUUUCCCUAAAUAAAACACACAAACUUAACACAACAUAUCCCACAUAACACCACUUACAAAUCAACAUUUACACAUUGUUUAGAUACGCCACACAAAUAAAAAGCACGAAUAGUAA